Molecule: unclassified non-coding RNA, 752 nt
Filed under: Tolpis laciniata
Lineage: Eukaryota; Viridiplantae; Streptophyta; Magnoliopsida; Asterales; Asteraceae
Description: partial external transcribed spacer
Source: RNAcentral
ACCCCGAUCCCAAGCACCAUGGAGCCGACGAUUUGGAUCAAGACCUACAUCCCAAGCACCAAGGUGCCUGGUUGAUAUGGAUCGCGAUCCCGAUCUGGAGCUCCAGGGCGCCGAGGAUUUCGAUCACGAUCCCGAUCUGAAGCACCGAGUAGCCGAGGAUAUGGAUCAAGACCCCGGUCCGAAGCGACAAGGAGGCAAGGAUUUGGAUCACCACUCCGAUCAAAGGCACCAAGGCGUCGAGGGGUUGGAUCGAGAUCCCGAUCCCAAUCAUGAAGUUGGCUAUGUAAUUUCCUGUUUUCCACACCGUUCAGGGCAUUUUGGUGGUCGUAUCGGCUUUUAGUUGCUUGCUUGGUGUUAGUGCCAAGGGAGUGGUUGGAAGCUAGGUCGUCCUCUGGAAUGCUUGUUGUAAAGGUGUAUGAGUUGUGUUUGGCUUGUUACGGGUGUUUGUUGGCUGCUUGUGCAGGAACUUUCAUGCGUCCAAGCCUCUUCAGUUGUGCUACAAGGCCUUGUUUGUCUUGUGCAUACGGUGGGUUUCCUGUGUUGCAUACCUAAUCAAGGGCAUCGUAUGGCUUGAUCGAAGUAAAUAUUCGUAAUGCGCCGCUUGCGGCGUUGCACGAACCUCGAAGUGGUCUCUGUGGCCCAUGUUGUCUUUGCUCACGUAUGGAUGGCAUGGCCCUCGGAGCGUCGCUUGGUCUCUUGGAUACGGAACCUGAUGAUGUGGGCGGUAGGGUCUUGGAUGAUUCUACCUUCGC